This is an RNA transcript of Solenopsis invicta (red fire ant), 2737 nucleotides long. It is a transcript of the gene named putative nuclease HARBI1, with no coding region annotated. NCBI's taxonomy places the organism in Eukaryota, Metazoa, Arthropoda, Insecta, Hymenoptera, Formicidae. The record is from RefSeq and is a predicted model, not a curated record. The transcript has 8 exons.
GGUCGCAAAUUUGUGUCAUUACCUCUUGGACUAAUCUUCUCGCGAUAAGAUUAUCAAACGGAUAGCAGCGAUAAAGGUCCGACCGCGAAUUCACGUCGGGUCGCUAGCGGAUUCGAGAGUAGUAUGCUCCGAAAUGGCGGAAAUAGGUGAACGUGUUAUUGUGACACAUGGAGAUGGAUGUAACGACGAACUACGCGAUUAAUUUUCACAAAAUCUGCGAGAAAGAGUGAAAGAGAUCGCGGGUACAAAUCUUUACCUCAGGUCGAUGAGCGGUGGAAAGAAGGAUUUAGCAAAUUUCGUGGGAUUUACCAACGAAUUCGAACAAAUGUUUACAUUGAAACGUCUUGUAUAGAGAAAUUACAUGAAGUCGAUAAAGACAAUGGGAUAUUAGACCAAGGUGUUUACAUAUAAUUCAAUAAUAAAAUGCAAGGUGCUACUUAUUAUAAGAUAGAACAACUGCAAUAAUGUUAUAUUGUUUUAAUUUUUUCAAAAUGUGAAUAUUAAUUAAAGAAAGAAGUAGAAAACUCGACUUGAGAUGGCUACCAGAAAGAUAAUUUGAAAGAUAACUUGUCAUCCGCAUAUAUUCCAGGAGGGAAAUCAAAAUUGAUUAAAUAAGUUUAAAAGAAGAAAAGGAAGAAAAAGAAAAAGAAAAGAAAAAGAAGAAGAAGGCAUUAUGGCUACGAUCAACAAUAUGAUUACUCAUAUUAUUUCUGUCAUUAGAGUUUUUUAAGAAAACUGGUUCCUGUCGGUGACGUUUUGGCAACACAAUCAAAACAUGAGAGCAGCAGCUAUGCGGUAAUAGUAAACAUAUCAAGCAGUUUUGGAAUAGUCUUGUCCGUGAAUAAUUAUCAACUUAAUUAUUCAGAAGCAGUAUAAAUAGGCCAAAGCGAAUCUUAGAAUUCCACAGUGCACUCUACAACGAUUUGAAGAACUUUGAUUCCUAAGGAACUUCCUGCUAAAUUUCUUCAAUUGGUAUUCGGGAAAUUGUCGAAAAUAUUAAUGUUAUGCCAAGAACAUUGAAGAAGUAACAGUGUAUGCUUUUAGUAUACACAAUUUUUAGUAAAGAAGAAAUGAAGAACCUCAUGAAGAUUUACAAAAAUAUAUUGGAAAACACAGACAAAAUGGUAGACGCCGGAGUACGCAUUCGUGUAAUAGGCAAUUUGUCUUUCAUACGAAAAGACAUACGCGAAUCAAUCGCUCGGGCAAUGAUGAGAACUGAGGAAAACAAUAAAAUAAUUUUCAAUUUUGCUCUUUCUUAUACACGUAAGUAUGAUUAGUAUAAACUCUAUUACGUUUAUAUUUCAUACUAAAUAUGAAAGUGAGAGAGAGAGAGAGAGAGAGAGAGAGAGAGAGAGAGAGAACUUACUUCUCUAAAACAUAUGUAUAUAAUUUAAAAAUGCAUUUGAUCUUUUAUCUUUGUAGCAAGGAUGAACUUGCUGCAAAGAUAAAAGAACUUACCCAAACUAUUAAAGAUAUAGCAAAGAGUGUAAAGAAUAAAAACAUCAAAAAAAAAAGAUAUUAUUUCAGAUUUAAUUUUUAAUUGUUUAUACGUUUCAAAUGUUGAUUUACUAAUACGCACUUCUGGAGAGGUGCGACUUAGUGACUUUCUCAUGUGACAAGUUUCUACCGCUUGCCUUUAUUUUACAACAUUAUGGCCUGUUUUUAAUAUAUGGAAUUUGCUCUGUGCAAUAGUUUAUUAUCAUCCCUAUUCUUGAACAUAUAUUGCAUACGAAAAUGGCAGUUUCGUAUACGACUUUUAACAGUUGGUAUUCAUGAAUGAUUACUACGCGGUUGUAUUCGAAAAAUAUCAUGCGAUUUACGUAUGGGUAUGGGUAUGGCAUUCGAAGUGAAGAUUCGUAUGCGAUAAAUAACCAAAAUUUUAUAUAACAGUAAAAAUUUCAUAUAACAAUGGUGGUUUUAAGAAGGUUAAUUAAUUUUAAUGUAAUAAAUGUUUUGGAAAAUGCAAACAUUGUGUUUGAAAAUAGAGAAAGAUUUCAACGUAAUGAUCCAUUUGAAUUAUAUAAUUUGGAGUUUAUGAGAUUAUUUCGUUUAAGUAAAGAUAUGGUACAAAGGGUAAUUGACAUAGUAGAGGAAUAUAGUGAUCCAAUAAGAUUAGCAUUAGAUGCGGAACAAAAGGUAAUAGAAAAGCUGUAUAACAUGUAAUAAUUAAUAUAUUAUAAAUAUUAUACUUCAGAUAUUAUAUUAUUUAGGUUUUGUAUUUAUAACAACUUUUAUUUUUAUAGGUAUUUACUGCUUUUAGAUUUUAUGCAGUUGGAAGUUAUCAGUUAGGUAUUGGAUGCAAUAGAUAUAUUGGAGUUAGUCAAUCCUCUGUAAGUCGUUGUAUUCGAGAUGUAAACAUAGUACUCAAUCACCCCAAUGUGUUUAAUGAAUGGGUUUAUUUUCCGAGGAAUUUAGAAGAGCUUACGACCAUACGUAAUGCGUACGAAAAAUUAAUUAAAUUUAGUUGUUAUUUAAAAUUAUUUGCGUUAUUUAUUUUAAUACGGCAUUUAUAUAUUUUACAUAGAAUAUGGAUUUAAAGUUAUUUGAGUUAUUUUAAUAUGGUAUUUAUAGAUUUUACACAGAAUAUGGAUUCCCAGGUGUCGUAGGAUGUAUAGACUGUACUCACGUGGCUAUAUUUCCACCCUCAAAGAACAAUGAAAUGUAUCCAGAACAUGUAUAUGUAAAUCGAAAAGGAUACCAUUCCAUAAAUACACAGUUAAUUUGUGAUUCAAGAAUG